This 470-nucleotide ribosomal RNA is filed under the name uncultured bacterium. Its description in RNAcentral is "bacterial SSU rRNA". It matches the Rfam family "Bacterial small subunit ribosomal RNA", at positions 355 to 822 of the family's 1533-position model. The record is from RNAcentral.
UGGGGAAUUGUUCGCAAUGGGCGCAAGCCUGACGACGCAACGCCGCGUGGAGGAUGAAGACCUUCGGGUCGUAAACUCCUUUCGAUCGAGACGAAUGGCCUCCGGGUGAACAAUCCGGAGGAGUGACGGUACCGAGAGAAGAAGCCCCGGCUAACUCCGUGCCAGCAGCCGCGGUAAUACGUAGGGACCAAGCGUUGUUCGGAUUUACUGGGCGUAAAGGGCGCGUAGGCGGCAAUUCAAGUCAUCUGUGAAAUCUCCGGGCUUAACUCGGAACGGUCAGAUGAUACUGCUUUGCUAGAGUGCAGAAGGGGCAAUCGGAAUUCUUGGUGUAGCGGUGAAAUGCGUAGAUAUCAAGAGGAACACCUGAGGUGAAGACGGGUUGCUGGGCUGACACUGACGCUGAGGCGCGAAAGCCAGGGGAGCAAACGGGAUUAGAUACCCAAGUAGUCCCUGAGCGGGCUGGCAAGGCG